Molecule: ribosomal RNA, 301 nt
Filed under: uncultured bacterium
Lineage: Bacteria
Description: partial 16S ribosomal RNA
Rfam family: Bacterial small subunit ribosomal RNA
Source: RNAcentral
CAGUAGCCACGGGAACACGAAGGGUGCAAGCGUUAAUCGGAAUUACUGGGCGUAAAGCGUGCGUAGGCGGUUUGUUAAGUCUGCUGUGAAAUCCCCGGGCUCAACCUGGGAAUGGCAGUGGAUACUGGCAAGCUAGAGUGUGUCAGAGGAUGGUGGAAUUCCCGGUGUAGCGGUGAAAUGCGUAGAGAUCGGGAGGAACAUCAGUGGCGAAGGCGGCCAUCUGGGACAACACUGACGCUGAGGCACGAAAGCGUGGGGAGCAAACAGGAUUAGAUACCCGGGUAGUCCCUGUCUCUUAUAC